Molecule: ribosomal RNA, 253 nt
Filed under: uncultured bacterium
Lineage: Bacteria
Description: partial 16S ribosomal RNA
Rfam family: Bacterial small subunit ribosomal RNA
Source: RNAcentral
UACGUAGGGUGCAAGCGUUGUCCGGAAUUAUUGGGCGUAAAGAGCUCGUAGGCGGUUUGUCGCGUCUGCUGUGAAAACUCGGGGCUUAACUCCGGGCCUGCAGUGGGUACGGGCAGACUAGAGUGCGGUAGGGGAGACUGGAAUUCCUGGUGUAGCGGUGAAAUGCGCAGAUAUCAGGAAGAACACCCGUGGCUAAGGCGGCUCUCUAGUACGGUACUGACGCUGAGACGCGAAAGCGUGGGGAGCAAACAGG